This 103-nucleotide ribosomal RNA is filed under the name Acanthosepion pharaonis. Lineage: Eukaryota; Metazoa; Mollusca; Cephalopoda; Sepiida; Sepiidae. The record is from RNAcentral.
CAGUCAUAUGACGUUCAAACACUAGUUCUCGUACGACCACCAAAGUUAAGCAACGUCCAACCUGGUCAGUACCUAGAUAGGUGACCGCUUGGGAAUACCAGGU